CGUGAGAUGUUGGGUUAAGUCCCGCAACGAGCGCAACCCCUAUCUUAUGUUGCCAGCACGUAAUGGUGGGAACUCAUGAGAGACUGCCGCAGACAAUGCGGAGGAAGGCGGGGAUGACGUCAAAUCAUCAUGCCCCUUAUGACCUGGGCUACACACGUACUACAAUGGGAGUUAAUAGACGGAAGCGAGAUCGCGAGAUGGAGCAAACCCGAGAAACACUCUCUCAGUUCGGAUCGUAGGCUGCAACUCGCCUACG
RNAcentral lists this ribosomal RNA (256 nucleotides) under uncultured bacterium. RNAcentral describes it as "partial 16S ribosomal RNA". It matches the Rfam family "Bacterial small subunit ribosomal RNA", at positions 1066 to 1320 of the family's 1533-position model. The record is from RNAcentral.